RNAcentral lists this ribosomal RNA (503 nucleotides) under uncultured bacterium. Its description in RNAcentral is "bacterial SSU rRNA". It matches the Rfam family "Bacterial small subunit ribosomal RNA", at positions 24 to 518 of the family's 1533-position model. The record is from RNAcentral.
UCAGGAUGAACGCUAGCUACAGGCUUAACACAUGCAAGUCGAGGGGCAGCGAGAAGAAAGCUUGCUUCUUGUCGGCGACCGGCGCACGGGUGAGUAACGCGUAUCCAACUUCCCCUUAGUAGGGCAUAGCCCGUAGAAAUGCGGAUUAAUACCCUAUGUUGUUCGAUGCGGACAUCUAAGUUGAACCAAAGGUUUACCGCUAAGGGAUGGAGAUGCGUCUGAUUAGGCAGCAGGCGGGGUAACGGCCCACCUGGCCGACGAUCAGUAGGGGUUCUGAGAGGAAGGUCCCCCACAUUGGAACUGAGACACGGUCCAAACUCCUACGGGAGGCAGCAGUGAGGAAUACUGGUCAAUGGGCGCGAGCCUGAACCAGCCAAGUAGCGUGCAAGGAUGACGGCUCUAUGGGUUGUAAACUGCUUUUAUGCGGGGAUAAAGUGCGGCACGUGUGCCGUUUUGUAGGUACCGCAUGAAUAAGGACCGGCUAAUUCCGUGCCAGCAGCGGC